ACCGGAUCAGAGAGGGGCUGGCUCCGGGGACAGGAGAGGGUAUUGGCCAGCAGAAGUGAGACGUGGACAAAAGGCGGGACUGGGGAGGGACCUCUAGCCUCGGCCGUCCUCCGACCCGUGAACUUGAGACCUGAAAACUACCGGUCCCAGCGUGCACUGCUCCCUCCUCGGAGCUCUCGCAGUUGGAUCCGCCGGGCUAAAAUUCCGGGGUGGGCGCGCUGCACCCUGGGACAUGUGGUUCUCCGAGGGGCACGGGCGGUUCCUGCGAUCUGGCUUUCCCUGGCGUCUUGCACCAGCCCUCCCUUUGUGGGUUGCAUAGUUCCCAGGAACCUGUCAGCUCUUUAGCCUUUUUCCUGCAAAUACAUUUCCGUGAGUGCCGGCUAGAUGAGGCUCACAUGGCCUCAGGUCCGUGCUGCACGCCAUAAGGAAUAGUAGUCCCUAAAUGCAUACGCUUUUGGAGUUGUCCUCUGCCCUCACCGAGAUUGCAAAACGUUAAAGGCAAAAAUGAAUCGAGCCUUUGACGGCAGUGUGCUGAGAGUUUUCCUUGUAAUCGCUCAUGUACUCUUGGCAACUUUAAUUGCAGCUGAGCUGCCUUUCUGGAAAGUUUCUUCCUUGAUUUCUAUCACCUUGCAUCAUCUGCUUUCCUCUCAGACGGACCAUUCAGGUAAACAACCCCUUCCAUGGAGUGAAUGGAAAGAUAAUGCUUCUCUUUACUUCAGUGUCCCUCCUUCUGCCUGA
RNAcentral lists this long non-coding RNA (738 nucleotides) under Sus scrofa (pig). RNAcentral's name for it is "lncRNA (ENSSSCG00025044296.1)". The record is from RNAcentral. Lineage: Eukaryota; Metazoa; Chordata; Mammalia; Artiodactyla; Suidae.